GUCCGGAUGGCGCAAUGGUCAGCGCAUCUGCCUAGUGAGUAGGAGGCCCGGGUUCGAAUACCGGUCCGGCUCA
Non-coding RNA from Schistocerca serialis cubense, 73 nucleotides. The record is from the annotation of a RefSeq genome assembly. NCBI's taxonomy places the organism in Eukaryota, Metazoa, Arthropoda, Insecta, Orthoptera, Acrididae.